Elaeis guineensis (African oil palm) is the source of this 1466-nucleotide long non-coding RNA. RefSeq lists it as uncharacterized. Lineage: Eukaryota; Viridiplantae; Streptophyta; Magnoliopsida; Arecales; Arecaceae. The record is from RefSeq and is a predicted model, not a curated record.
GAAAUAGAUGAAGAAAAGUGGGAGGAGGUCCCUGAUGAGAAAUGAGUUAGAGGAAAAAAGAACAAGAAAAAAAAAAAAAUGGAGAGGAAGAAAAGGGAGAAGAAUGAGUUAUCAACGAGAAAGAUAGAAGUGGAAAGGGCCAUCGUGAAGGCAAUGGUUUAUUAACGAUUUGGAGGAGGAGAAAAAUGAGAAGGCAAAAUAGAUAAGAAAGAAGGAAAAGAGAUAGAGGAAGCCACCAUAAAAAAAGGAGAAAUGAGUAAGAAGAAAGAAGAGAGGAAAAGAUAUUUUACUGAUGAGAAGAGGUGGAUGUAGAGAGGGGCUAUAUAAAAGGAUGGGACCCGUGAGUUAGCUUAGAAAAAAAGAGGAUAAGGAGAAGAAAGAAGAUGAGGAGGAAGGAAAAGAAGGAAGAAGGGCUACUGGCAAGAAAUGAGAUGGAGGAGGAGGACAAGGAGGAGAAGAAAAUGGAAGAAAGAAGAUGGAGAAGGCAAGAAGAGACGAAGGUGGAGAGGAAUGAUCUACGAGUGGUUUGGAGGAGGAGGAUGAGAAUGAGAAGUGGAUGGGGAUGAAGGGGAGGAGAUGGAGAAAGGAAAGGAGAAAGAAGGGAGAAAAAGGAAAAAGAGAGGAGGAGAGAGGAGAAAUUGGAUAAGAAGGAAGGAGAGAAGGAGAAAGGAGAGGAGAAGGGAGAAGGGAGAAGGGAGAAAGAGGAAUACUGGUGAUGAUGGAGGAGAUCAAUCGGAGAGGAAAAAGGAAAAAGAAAGGAAGAGAAAGAAGAUUAAGAUCCCACUCAGCUGUUUCGGAAUCCGGUUUUGCUAUUGGCGUCCCCUAAUGAGUAACGUGGCCUCUUUCAUCUGGGGGAGCAGGUGGAUCUCAAGAGUCCUACUGGCGGUUGCAGGACUCACGGUUCUCAUCUCGUCCUGCUUCAUCAAGUAGAAGUGAAAGUCUCUUCAGAGUCAUCCGAUAAAGUAAGGGUAAAAGAAACAAUUUUAUUUUUCUAUGGCCAGGGCCCAGAGGGGAUGAACCUGGGCUCCCGACUUGACUUCCAGGUUCAAAGAAUUCAAAGUUGGCGAGGGAGAUGGUAGGUCACCAUUUCGUUUGUUAUAAUAAGACUGCGCUAGACGACCAGUCCGUCCGCAUGGUGGAAAACUGGAGCAAUUGGAGAGCGAGAGCGGGUCUACCUUUACACGCGGUUCAUUGCGCAACAGGGACUGCCUUGCGUUGCGUUGCUGGCGAUGUUGUUUAAUGUACAGUAUUUGAAUGGCGAUGUUGUUUACCAAACAAUUUUUUUUAAAAAAUGUCGAUGUACGUCUCCCUCGUGAUUUUUUUUUAUUAUUAUUAUCGUUUUAUGACGCACAUGCAUGUAUGUACAUCAGCAAAGAUGACCUUUUGAUAUGUACAGCCCACUGGCAACGAUAGCAUGGUCUUUGCACCUCAUAAUGAAACACUGUGAUACCAGCAAUUGUUUGGUA